GACGAACGCUGGCGGCGUGCUUAACACAUGCAAGUCGAACGGUGAAGGGGCCUGCUUUUGUGGGCCCUGGAUGAGUGGCGAACGGGUGGGUAACACGUGAGUAACCUGCCCCCUUCUUCUGGAUAACCGCAUGAAAGUGUGGCUAAUACGGGAUAUUCUGGGUCUGUCGCAUGAUGGGUCUGGGAAAGAUUGCGCCUUUGGGUGUUUUUGGUGGGGGAUGGGCUCGCGGCCUAUCAGCUUGUUGGUGGGGUGAUGGCCUACCAAGGCGGUGACGGGUAGCCGGCCUGAGAGGGUGGACGGUCACACUGGGACUGAGACACGGCCCAGACUCCUACGGGAGGCAGCAGUGGGGAAUAUUGCACAAUGGGCGCAAGCCUGAUGCAGCGACGCCGCGUGAGGGAUGGAGGCCUUCGGGUUGUAAACCUCUUUCGCCAGUGAAGCAGGCCUGCUCCUUGUGGGUGGGUUGACGGUAGCUGGAUAAGAAGCGCCGGCUAACUACGUG
This 502-nucleotide ribosomal RNA is filed under the name uncultured bacterium. RNAcentral's name for it is "partial 16S ribosomal RNA". It matches the Rfam family "Bacterial small subunit ribosomal RNA", at positions 28 to 507 of the family's 1533-position model. The record is from RNAcentral.